AUACUCUAGUUUCUUUGCAGAUCGUAUAAAUCUUUCGCCUUUUACUAAAGAUUUCCGUGGAAGGGAACUUUUUUGAGUUUGAACUAAUUUUUUGAUGCCCUGUUUCAGCGGGGUU
Small nuclear RNA from Polyodon spathula (Mississippi paddlefish), 115 nucleotides. RefSeq annotates it as U5 spliceosomal RNA. The transcript has a single exon. Lineage: Eukaryota; Metazoa; Chordata; Actinopteri; Acipenseriformes; Polyodontidae. The record is from RefSeq and is a predicted model, not a curated record.